Molecule: long non-coding RNA, 1684 nt
Organism: Brienomyrus brachyistius
Lineage: Eukaryota; Metazoa; Chordata; Actinopteri; Osteoglossiformes; Mormyridae
Exons: 3
Source: RefSeq, a predicted model, not a curated record
GUCUAAUUGUUGUAGAAUAUCUCAGAUCCAGGACCGCCAUUAGAGGGUCGCAGAUAGGGUGCAUGAACGUCUGCUGAAGAAGUAAGACAUUUCCUCUUAUACUAGCAGGACAUCAAGCCAGCUGAUUUGGCACGUUUUUCAGUGUUACAGCAACUAUACGAAGCUGAACUUGGUUAACUGGAUUUGACAGCAAACCUGCACAAGGGAAUCUACAUAGUGUAUAACUGUCUGUACCAUUAGAAAUUAGUUGGCAUGUGGAAGUCUUUUUCUUCAGAAUCACAAAGGCAAAGACUUAAAACAAAGCCAUUUUGAGUCAGUGAAACUACAUCAAAUGCAAGUCAUAUAGUUGUAUAUACACUAUAUGGACAAAAGUAUUGGGACACACCUUUCACUUAUUGAAUUCAGGCAUUUCAUCCAGACUCGUUGCCACAGGUGUAUAAAAUCAAGCAUCUAGCCCUGCAGUUAGUCAGGUUUACAAAUUUGUGAAAGAAUGGGUCGUUCUGAAGAGCUCAGUGAGUUUGAGCGAGGUACUGUUAUAGGAUGCCACCUUUGCAAGAAGUCAGUUCGUGAAAUUUCUUCCUUGCUAGGUAUUCCACGGUCAACUGUAAGUAAUAUUAUUGCAAAGUGGAAACGUUUAGGAACAACAGAAACUCAGCCUCGAAGUGGGAGACCACGUAAAGUUACAGAGCGGGGUAGACGAGUGCUAGGACGCAUAGUGAGUAAAAGUCACCAAUGCUCUGUUGACUCGAUAACUGCAGAGUUCCAAACCUCCUCUGGCAUUAACCUCAGCACAAGAACUGUGCGCCGAGAGCUUCAUGGAAUGGGCUCCCAUGACCGAGCAGCUGCAUGUAAACCUCUCAUCACCAAGCGCAACGCCAAGAGUCCAGGGCUGCCACGUGUCGUCGAUGUAGGCGACGGCGUCGAUGCUGGAAAUCCUGAAGAGGAGUAUGUGAAACUACUGGAUGAUGUGGGCCUUGCAAGGACGGAAAAAUGUACAGAGGAGUUCAUACAGAACAAGGACAAGGAUUUAACAGAAUUGUUGGAUUUCGUUGAAUGAUUCUUGAUCUUGAGGAUGUACAUGUGCUGUAUCACAGGGCAGUGUUUUGUUGCAAAGUGUAAAGUCAGAUCAUAAUUGAAGGAAAUGUAUAUCUGAGAAGGGUACUUGUUUCCCUCAUUCUGAAUGUUAAUUCUGAGGGAUUUGUGGAUUUUUUUUGUAUUAAACUGUGCAACUAGUUGGCUGGAAUUUAUCACCCACUUACCAAUAUAACUGCAGGUCAGGGUCAUGUGGACUAUUUGGUUGAAAAAUAGGCUGAAACAUAAAACAUUUAUUUUUUUAGUAGAGCUAUAAUGUUUGUAAUGUAUACUGAAUUCCAAGAUUCAGAAAGAGACUAGAAGGUGCGGGUAUGGUUUGAUACAUGAAUAAUUAUUUUUUUUUUGCUUGGUCUUUGUGAGUGACCAUGCAUUGUAACAUGUCAUUUCUGCCAGUCCAUAGCUGCAUGUUGUACAAAAAUGGCAGCAAUAAGUGGAAAUAAGAUGUAUGAUAUGUUUUUUUAAGUUAUAUACUAUUGCAACUUUCCUAUAAAAACUGAACUGUUCAGGUUAUCAUUCAGUGACUUCUCCGAUUUUAUUCAGGUUCAAGUGUAUAUUAAAUUUGCACUGAAUAAAAUUUUGUGUAAGUUACAAA